UUCCUCCAUGUAUGUGCAUGUGUGUAUAGUUGUGUGUGCAUGUUCAUGUCUAUAUUUGAAUAUACAUAACAUACACACACAUGUAUAAACGCAAGCACACAUACACAGA
Molecule: microRNA precursor, 109 nt
Filed under: Mus musculus (house mouse)
Lineage: Eukaryota; Metazoa; Chordata; Mammalia; Rodentia; Muridae
Description: microRNA mmu-mir-669a precursor (mmu-mir-669a-3)
Gene: mmu-mir-669a-3
Source: miRBase by way of RNAcentral